Long non-coding RNA from Equus caballus (horse), 3693 nucleotides. The record is from Ensembl. NCBI's taxonomy places the organism in Eukaryota, Metazoa, Chordata, Mammalia, Perissodactyla, Equidae.
CACAGACUCAGGACUGGCCAAUCAAAACAUUGCAUUCCUCUGGCCACUGUGAUUGGUGGACAUGUGACUCAAAUCAAGCCCCUCAGAACUAACUUGGGAUGACUAGGAGGAAACCUCUCUCUUUUUUUCUGCUGCCCUUGAACCUCCGGGGUUUGAGGCUGGAGCUGAGCCGCCAGCUUGCCAUCACUAGAACAAGAUGUCUGAGAGGGAAGCCAGCCCAGAGGAUGUGGAACUGAAGGACAAAGAAAGAGAAACUGGGUCCUGAACCAGGUCCUGGAAACACUGCUCAAACCCCUGGAUCCAGCCAUACCUGAAAGCAGUUAUCAUUGGGCUUUCCAGUUACAUGAACCAAUAAAUCUCCCCUUUUGCCCAAGUAAGAAUUGUUGUAGAUAGGACCAGUUGUCACUCAGGGAGUCUGCCAGUGUCCCAUGGGGGGUCAUCUGCAGGGCAGGGCACCAGCCCUUGUCAGAAGCUCAGAGUGGUUCCAGGGGAACUCUGACUGAAAGCCAUGGACAAACAGGCUCCAUAUUUGCUUUCCUUGCUCCUGGCUGCUGAGGCAGGGCAUGGGAUCAUGACUCCACCAAUCAGACGCUGCCCCAGCUUUGACUCAAACAAGUGAUGAGAAGGGGCGGGUGAUUCUCUUCAGUGGCAGCAGCAGCAGGGAGUAUCCAGGGCCGGCAGGGAGGCCCACGGUCCAGACCGUCCUGUGGCAGGACUAGGGGGCCGGCGUCCAGCUGCAUCUCUUGGCCGCUGCCCAGUUUUCAAGCCUGGUUUUUGGUCUGCGAGGCUGCUCUGAGCCCCCUGCAUCCAUUCCAGAAGUUCUGCAGGUCGAGUUGGUGUCUGUUGCUAGGAAGAUGGACAGAGAAGCCACCGCCCCCUGUGCCCUCAGGGAGGGGCUGGGGUCUGGGGGCAGCUGGGUAAACGCGGGAAGGGAGCCGGCUUGGGGCUGGCAGACUCCCUGAGCGGGCACCCCGAGGAUUGUCAGGUGCCCCUCGAAGCGCCUGGCUGAGCGCCAGGCACAUUUUUAGGGCUUGAAAAUCAGCGACAGGGAGCAAUCUGCCCAUGGGCACCGGCCUUGUGCCCAGCCCUGGGGGCUGGAGAGUGUGUGUGUGUGUGCGCGCGUGUGUGCAUACGUGUGUGUGUGUGCGUGUCUGAGGAGGGGCGGGGGCACUGAAGGAGUGGACACUCCGCUCCCUGCCAGGCCAGUCAAGGGGUCGGGGCUGACCCCAGCAAGCGUGGGCAGGAGACCUGCCUUGAACACGUCUGGUCACAGGAGGGCCUCAGACGCCCACCUGGGGCUGGCCCGCCCUGAGCCACCUGCAGCCCAGAGUGAGCGGUGGGCCGAGACGUGUUGGACUCUGGCAGCAACAUGGACAUGGAUCAGCUGCGAAGUGGGCCGGCUGCAUGGCACGCCGUGUACCCACCUGAGGCUGCUUGUUCAAGAAGGCAUGAAAUCCAGGGGUCAAAUGCAAGGGCUUUGCAACUAAACUUGGUUCUGUCCUGGCGCUGCCAGUCUCCGGCUGUGUCGCAAGCCCUGGGUGGCUGCCGGCGUCUCCCCCGGCCCGUUGCCUGUGAUGUCAGGAGGUCGUCCUGGUUAGAUAGACAUGAAACACUCGGCGCCUGUCAUGUGACAAGGACACAAUUUAUUACUCUUAUUGUAAAAUAAACAUAACAACGUAAAUGUAUUAAUUUAUUACUUGGUCUUUAUUAAUACAAGCCCGGGUCCGGCCCGGUGGCACAGCGGUUAAGUGUGCACGUUCCGCUUCGGCGGCCCGGGGUUUGCCGGUUCAGAUCCUGGGUGUGGAGAUGGCACCGCUCGGCAAGCCAUGCUGGUGGCAGGCGUCCCACAUAUAAAGGAGAGGAAGAUGGGCACGAUGUUAGCUCAGGGCCUGUCUUCCUCAGCAAAAAGAGGAUUGGCAGCAGAUGUUAGCUCAGGGCUAAUCUUCCUCAAAAAAAAAAAAAAAACUUUAAUACAAGCCCACAUAUGUUCAUUUAUUAUGUGUGCUACUCCGUUGAUUUCCACAAACAACUCAGUGGAGGACAGGCUCUUGGUCCCAUCCUCCAGAUGGGGAAACUGAGGCUCAGGGAGGUCCCGCAGAACCAGGGUUCAGAAUCUCAGCCAGAUCCAGCCGGCCCCAAAGUCCAACCUCUUCCCUUCUCUGCUCGCCCCGCGGCCCCCGGUGGGCUGGCCAAGGGCGCUCCCGCAGGCCGUUGGCUGGCCCUCAGCCAGUGGGGACCCGGCAUGGCCCAGAAGGUGUGGGCCAGGUCAGAAACCCGCCUGCCGCCCCCGACGAGAAGCCCACAGCCCCGGUGGAUCCACUGUGGCUUUUAGGGGACGCUUUGCCUCGUCUCAUUCUCAACAUGCCAGGGCUGUGGAAGUGACCGUGCCCACGGGCAGCCCAGGCCGGGGCUCUGCCAGGGUCCCCAGCGUGACCUUCCUAAGCCGGAUCCAGUUACAUCCCAGCGGCCGCUAAGGAGCAAACACAGCUUGCAUCGUCCUCCAAGUGCUCACUUCCUUUGUCCUGUGAACACUCAAAAAUGAAAGGAAUGAUGAGGAUCUGGGGGUGGAGGGGGGCGGAGGAGGGCAGGGAAAUUCUGCAGCGUCGGCCUCACUCGCCGAGAGGGCGGCGUGAGGAGUUCGAAACCGAGUCCAAAGAAAGAGAAACUCAAGUGGUGACACGGCAGGCCCCAGGGGUCCAAGGCCUCCUUGAUCCCUGGCUCCCACUGUGGGUUAAGGGCCCAGCCCUGGGGACAGAAGCCUCAUAUCCAGCCUCUGCUGCUGGCCCCUCCGUGGUCAGGCCACUAAACCUCCCUGGGCCUCGGACUUCGCUCUCCAACGCCAGGAACGCCGGCUCCCGCUGCCCUGGGGUGUGAUGGAAAAGGAAGGAGAGACCGUGUGGAGACCAGCGGUUCUCGACCCACCAGGACAAGCUGGCUCCCUGGGGGUCAUUUGCGGCAACAUCUUUGGUUGUCGCAACCAGGAGGGGACGGCACUACUGGCAUCUGAGGUCUGCCCCGCUUCAUUCAGAAUGCGAUGUCGACCUGGUGUCGCCUGUGCCACGCACGCUUGCCGAGCUGAGUGAGGGUGGACCCAGCCCCGUGCCCGUGGAGCGUCUGGUCCAGAGCGAGAGAGACUCAGACAGAUCAAGAGAGCAAGCGCACAGUGACGGCCCCGAUAUCCUUCACGAGUGCGGCCUGUGUCAACAAACCGGGGGACCCAACGGUGGAAGGUUGCGCAGCCGGGAAAAGGCCCGGAGUUCUGACCCCCGCCGCCCCUUGGAGGAGGAACCCUGAGAACGUGGUGCCGAGUGACAGAAGCAAGACGCAGAAGCCCACAUCGUGGGGGUACGUUCCCAAAGAUGUUCGUGGUCACAGUUGCACUGCCCUGUGGACACACCGAGCGCCACUGAACUCUACUCUGUGAAGGGUGAAUUAGGUCGCAAUAAAGCUGUAAUGUACAAGAAUAAUAGUUGCUGCUCUCUUGCCAGCUCAUCCGGGAUGGGGGCUCUUCGAGGGCCCUGCCUGGGAGGGCUGCCGUCCACCCGAGGGCAUCCACGGGCCCAGAGCAGCUCCCCAGCAGGGCAGUGGCCGGCCUGCCACCCCCAGCAGGGCCUUCCCUGGGGAUUUCUCUGGUCAUUUUCUUUCCGAGCCUCAGAGAGACUGGGGUGCGAAGGGCCUGCCCAGAGCCAGCAA